This 374-nucleotide ribosomal RNA is filed under the name uncultured bacterium. RNAcentral describes it as "bacterial SSU rRNA". It matches the Rfam family "Bacterial small subunit ribosomal RNA", at positions 524 to 898 of the family's 1533-position model. The record is from RNAcentral.
UACGGAGGUGGCAAAUGUUGCUCGGAAUCACUGGGCGUACAGGGCACGCAGGCGGAUAUUCAAGUCAAUAGUGAAAGUCAUAUGCCUAACGUAUGAAUUGCUAUUGAAACUGGAUAUCUAGAGUUUUGCAGAGGACGAUGGAACACCUGGAGUAGCGGUGAAAUGCGUAGAUAUCAGGUGGAACACCGACGGCGAAGGCAGUCGUCUAGGCAAAAACUGACGCUGAGGUGCGAAAGCUGGGGGAGCGAACAGGAUUAGAUACCCUGGUAGUCCCAGCCAUAAACGAUGAGUGCUAGGUAUAUGAGUGUUAGAACUUAUGUGCCGCAGCUAACGCAUUAAGCACUCCGCCUGGGGACUAUAAUCGCAAGGUUGAA